UGAAAAAAAUGUAGGGCAGAUGGUGCAGAAAUUCACUUUUUCACGAGUAUUUGGACCUGAAACAACUCAGGAAGAGUUCUUUGACGGUACUGUGAAACAACCAGUACAAGACUUCUUGGAGGGACACAAUCGUCUUAUUUUCACUUAUGGUGUGACAAAUGCUGGAAAAACCUACACUUUCCAAGGGACAGAAGCUGACAUUGGUAUUCUGCCAAGAACUAUGGAUAUGUUGUUUAAAAGCAUUCAUGGCAAACUGUAUCCAGAUAUGGAUUUCAAACCCCUUCGAUGUAAAGAUUAUAUAAGGCUGACUAAAGAA
Molecule: long non-coding RNA, 316 nt
Organism: Mauremys mutica (yellowpond turtle)
Lineage: Eukaryota; Metazoa; Chordata; Testudines; Geoemydidae
Exons: 3
Source: RefSeq, a predicted model, not a curated record